Molecule: transfer RNA, 83 nt
Filed under: Pseudomonadota bacterium
Lineage: Bacteria; Pseudomonadati; Pseudomonadota
Also listed under: 1 other name
Description: tRNA-Ser
Rfam family: tRNA
About the family: Transfer RNA (tRNA) molecules are approximately 80 nucleotides in length.
Source: RNAcentral
GGAGGGAUGCCGGAGCGGCCGAACGGGGCGGUCUUGAAAACCGCUGUGCGCGAGCACCGUGGGUUCGAAUCCCACUCCCUCCG